UCCCUGGUGGCUCAGUGGUAAAGAAUCUGCCUGUAAUGCAGCAGGCCUGGGUUCGAUCCCUGGGUGGGGAG
Molecule: transfer RNA, 71 nt
Filed under: Ovis aries (sheep)
Lineage: Eukaryota; Metazoa; Chordata; Mammalia; Artiodactyla; Bovidae
Rfam family: tRNA
About the family: Transfer RNA (tRNA) molecules are approximately 80 nucleotides in length. Their secondary structure includes four short double-helical elements and three loops (D, anti-codon, and T loops). Further hydrogen bonds mediate the characteristic L-shaped molecular structure. tRNAs have two regions of fundamental functional importance: the anti-codon, which is responsible for specific mRNA codon recognition, and the 3' end, to which the tRNAs corresponding amino acid is attached (by aminoacyl-tRNA synthetases). tRNAs cope with the degeneracy of the genetic code in two manners: having more than one tRNA (with a specific anti-codon) for a particular amino acid; and 'wobble' base-pairing, i.e. permitting non-standard base-pairing at the 3rd anti-codon position.
Source: Rfam by way of RNAcentral